GUGGGGAAUCUUGCGCAAUGGGCGAAAGCCUGACGCAGCCAUGCCGCGUGGAUGAUGAAGGUCUUAGGAUUGUAAAAUCCUUUCACCGGUGAAGAUAAUGACUGUAGCCGGAGAAGAAGCCCCGGCUAACUUCGUGCCAGCAGCCGCGGUAAUACGAAGGGGGCUAGCGUUGCUCGGAAUUACUGGGCGUAAAGGGAGCGUAGGCGGACAUUUAAGUCAGGGGUGAAAUCCCGAGGCUCAACCUCGGAACUGCCUUUGAUACUGGGUGUCUUGAGUAUGAGAGAGGUGUGUGGAACUCCGAGUGUAGAGGUGAAAUUCGUAGAUAUUCGGAAGAACACCAGUGGCGAAGGCGACACACUGGCUCAUUACUGACGCUGAGGCGCGAAAGCGUGGGGAGCAAACAGGAUUAGAAACCCUUGUAGUCC
Molecule: ribosomal RNA, 425 nt
Filed under: uncultured bacterium
Lineage: Bacteria
Description: partial 16S ribosomal RNA
Rfam family: Bacterial small subunit ribosomal RNA
Source: RNAcentral